AGUGAACGCUGGCGGUAGGCCUAACACAUGCAAGUCGAACGGCAGCACAGUAAGAGCUUGCUCUUACGGGUGGCGAGUGGCGGACGGGUGAGGAAUACAUCGGAAUCUACUUUUUCGUGGGGGAUAACGUAGGGAAACUUACGCUAAUACCGCAUACGACCUACGGGUGAAAGCAGGGGAUCUUCGGACCUUGCGCGAUUGAAUGAGCCGAUGUCGGAUUAGCUAGUUGGCGGGGUAAAGGCCCGCCAAGGCGACGAUCCGUAGCUGGUCUGAGAGGAUGAUCAGCCACACUGGAACUGAGACACGGUCCAGACUCCUACGGGAGGCAGCAGUGGGGAAUAUUGGACAAUGGGCGAAAGCCUGAUCCAGCCAUACCGCGUGGGUGAAGAAGGCCUUCGGGUUGUAAAGCCCUUUUGUUGGGAAAGAAAAGCAGCAGGUUAAUACCGCGCUGUUCUGACGGUACCCAAAGAAUAAGCACCGGCUAACUUCGUG
This 492-nucleotide ribosomal RNA is filed under the name uncultured bacterium. Its description in RNAcentral is "partial 16S ribosomal RNA". It matches the Rfam family "Bacterial small subunit ribosomal RNA", at positions 29 to 507 of the family's 1533-position model. The record is from RNAcentral.